This 465-nucleotide ribosomal RNA is filed under the name uncultured bacterium. RNAcentral describes it as "partial 16S ribosomal RNA". It matches the Rfam family "Bacterial small subunit ribosomal RNA", at positions 28 to 507 of the family's 1533-position model. The record is from RNAcentral.
GACGAACGCUGGCGGCGUGCUUAACACAUGCAAGUCGAACGGAAAGGCCCUGCUUGCCGGGUACUCGAGUGGCGAACGGGUGAGUAACACGUGGGUGAUCUGCCCUUCACUUCGGGAUAAGCCUGGGAAACUGGGUCUAAUACCGGAUAGGAGCCAUUUUUAGUGUGAUGGUUGGAAAGUUUUUUCGGUGUAGGAUGAGCUCGCGGCCUAUCAGCUUGUUGGUGGGGUAAUGGCCUACCAAGGCGGCGACGGGUAGCCGGCCUGAGAGGGUGGACGGCCACAUUGGGACUGAGAUACGGCCCAGACUCCUACGGGAGGCAGCAGUGGGGAAUAGUGCACAAUGGGCGCAAGCCUGAUGCAGCGACGCCGCGUGGGGGAUGACGGCCUUCGGGUUGUAAACUCCUUUCGCUAGGGACGAAGCUUUUUGUGACGGUACCUAGAUAAGAAGCACCGGCUAACUACGUG